GUGAAUCAUCAAAUUUUUGAACGCAAAUUGCACUCUCCUCGGAGAGGAGGCCUGUUUGAGGGUCAGCGUAUAAAAAUCGACAUAGUUGCGGUUGGGCGGUGGCGUUCGUCGGAAAUGGGGUCAUCGUAAGUCGUUUAGAUUUAAGCGACUUAAAAUUGUCUUUUGGUUACAUGAACGUUUCUAAGAUCUACUUCUUUACACGUUGAAGGUAGCGAUGGUUAUUAGACGUGACCAUCAUA
RNAcentral lists this unclassified non-coding RNA (239 nucleotides) under Glomus sp. RNAcentral describes it as "partial contains 5.8S ribosomal RNA and internal transcribed spacer 2". The record is from RNAcentral. Lineage: Eukaryota; Fungi; Glomeromycota; Glomeromycetes; Glomerales; Glomeraceae.